AGGGUGUAAACGCUGCAGGCUUGGCGUUGGAGGCCCUUUGGGGGCAUUCAGUGCCGGAGAGAAGUUGUUAAGUCUGCUACUUGGGGAGUACGUCCGCAAGGAUGAAACUUAAAGGAAUUGGCGGGGGAGCACCGCAACGGGAGGAGCGUGCGGUUUAAUUGGAUUCAACACCGUAAAACUCACCAGGGAAGACUGUUACAUGAAGGCCGAGAUGAAGACUCUGCUAGAUUUUCAGAGAGGUGGUGCAUGGCCGUUCAGUGACU
This 263-nucleotide ribosomal RNA is filed under the name uncultured archaeon. Its description in RNAcentral is "partial 16S ribosomal RNA". It matches the Rfam family "Archaeal small subunit ribosomal RNA", at positions 748 to 1010 of the family's 1478-position model. The record is from RNAcentral.